This 464-nucleotide ribosomal RNA is filed under the name uncultured bacterium. RNAcentral describes it as "bacterial SSU rRNA". It matches the Rfam family "Bacterial small subunit ribosomal RNA", at positions 29 to 526 of the family's 1533-position model. The record is from RNAcentral.
AACGAACGCUGGCGGCAGGCCUAACACAUGCAAGUCGAACGAGAAGCUCUCCUUCGGGGGAGUGGAAAGUGGCAGACGGGUGAGUAACGCGUGGGAACGUACCCUUUGGUUCGGAACAACUCCGGGAAACUGGAGCUAAUACCGGAUAAGCCCUACGGGGGAAAGAUUUAUCGCCGAAGGAUCGGCCCGCGUCGGAUUAGCUUGUUGGUGAGGUAACGGCUCACCAAGGCGACGAUCCGUAGCUGGUCUGAGAGGAUGAUCAGCCACACUGGGACUGAGACACGGCCCAGACUCCUACGGGAGGCAGCAGUGGGGAAUAUUGGACAAUGGGCGCAAGCCUGAUCCAGCCAUGCCGCGUGAGUGAUGAAGGCCCUAGGGUUGUAAAGCUCUUUCGCCAGGGACGAUAAUGACGGUACCUGGAUAAGAAGCCCCGGCUAACUUCGUGCCAGCAGCCGCGGUAAAAC